UACGUAGGGGGCAAGCGUUGUUCGGAAUUACUGGGCGUAAAGGGCGCGUAGGCGGCACGGCAAGUCGGGAGUGAAAGCCCGGGGCUCAACCCCGGAGGGUCUUCCGAAACUGCCGGGCUAGAGUGCGGAAGAGGCAACCGGAAUUCCCAGUGUAGCGGUGAAAUGCGUAGAUAUUGGGAAGAACACCGGAGGCGAAGGCGGGUUGCUGGGCCGACACUGACGCUGAGGCGCGAAAGCUAGGGGAGCGAACGGG
RNAcentral lists this ribosomal RNA (253 nucleotides) under uncultured bacterium. RNAcentral describes it as "partial 16S ribosomal RNA". It matches the Rfam family "Bacterial small subunit ribosomal RNA", at positions 524 to 776 of the family's 1533-position model. The record is from RNAcentral.